CCAAGGUCAUAAGCGAAGGAUACUCAUUCCUUUUACUAGAGAAUCAAGCCCACAAUCACCCAAGGCAUUACUCAUAACUUUGACAUACACAUGGUCAUUAUGAACAAGACUAAUAUCAUGGCUUUCAGCCCACAAGUUCAAAGGACCAUAUUCAUUAUCUAGAUCAACAUUACAAGCAUCAACAGUAACUUGAAAAUUUUUAAUCAUACCAUUUACAUGUUCAAGUAGUGAGCUAUUCUUAGGAUCACAUUGAUCAUUAUACACACCCGAAAUACUACCAAGGAAGGAUACUUGUACUUCUACACUAUCUAUACCCAAAACCACAUCAACUUGGCUACUAAUAUCCAUAUCACAACUUUUUAAACUUAAGGGAGUGUAAAGUGUACCAAUUUUACCUUGGUUUGUACUAGGGCAGCCUACUUGGAUUGAAUUCUCGGCCAAGAAUGCAAUUGGAACACCAACAUGUUUGGGAUGGAUUUCUUUUGGAUUCUCCUUUGGGAAUAUAUCAUCUUUUAUAUGCACAUAAGAAGAAUCAAUUCUAGGCAAAAUGCUAGCACUUGGAUUAGUGAGUAACAAGGGUUCUUUGUGUACAAAAUCCACAAUCAAGCAUUUUUUCCCCUUUCAACUUCACUACCCAUGGAUUCCCUUUCGCUUUCCCUCUUUUCUUUACAUUCUUCUUGUACCUCACCAUCAAAUUUCUCUCUAUCUUGAGGCUUGGCCUCAUUCUCCUCGGAGUCUAACUCUUCCUUUUUUUAUACUUGGACGGGGUAUUUCCGGGUUAGUGUAGCUUGGGAAGGAGACAUUCGAUUUAGUGGAGUGUAGGGUCUUUGAAUUAGAGGAUUUUAGAGUAGAGAAAUCAGGUUUAGGGAUGGAAUUUUGGUUCCAAAUCCUCUUUGUGGAACUUGGUGGAGUGAGGAACGACUAAGUCCAUCUUCUUCUCGGCUUUGGGAGUAAAGAUUGACUUGGUUUGUAGCACUUGGUGGAUACAAUCAUUGGUGCAAGGUCUUGGGAGUAAUAGUAGGUGAGAUGUUUUGAGGGGUAUGAGGUUGAGAACUCCUUUGUCUUUCCACCCUCUUCAACCUUUCA
RNAcentral lists this long non-coding RNA (1086 nucleotides) under Capsicum annuum. Its description in RNAcentral is "long non-coding RNA (CANN_LNC020793)". Lineage: Eukaryota; Viridiplantae; Streptophyta; Magnoliopsida; Solanales; Solanaceae. The record is from RNAcentral.